This 74-nucleotide transfer RNA is filed under the name Deltaproteobacteria bacterium. Its description in RNAcentral is "tRNA-Arg". It matches the Rfam family "tRNA". From Rfam's summary of the family: Transfer RNA (tRNA) molecules are approximately 80 nucleotides in length. The record is from RNAcentral. Lineage: Bacteria; Pseudomonadati; Myxococcota; Myxococcia.
GCACCCGUAGCUCAGCUGGAUAGAGCAUCCGCCUUCUAAGCGGAGGGUCGCAGGUUCGAAUCCUGCCGGGUGUA